Molecule: transfer RNA, 69 nt
Filed under: Eremias stummeri (Stummer's racerunner)
Lineage: Eukaryota; Metazoa; Chordata; Lepidosauria; Squamata; Lacertidae
Description: tRNA-Pro
Rfam family: tRNA
About the family: Transfer RNA (tRNA) molecules are approximately 80 nucleotides in length. Their secondary structure includes four short double-helical elements and three loops (D, anti-codon, and T loops).
Source: RNAcentral
CAAAAGAUAGUUUAGGUAAAAUACUGGCUUUGGGGGCUAGUGAUGAGGAGUUAAAGUCCUUUCUUUUGA